Molecule: ribosomal RNA, 915 nt
Filed under: uncultured archaeon
Lineage: Archaea
Description: bacterial SSU rRNA
Rfam family: Archaeal small subunit ribosomal RNA
Source: RNAcentral
UCCGGUUGAUCCCGCCGGACCCCACUGCUAUUGCGAUAAGACUAAGCCAUGCGAGUCGUGCGCUUCCAAGCUAUGAUGGGAGCGCGGCGUACGGCUCCAUAACACGUAGUUAACCUACCCUUGGGACGGGAAUAACUCCGGGAAACUGGAGCUAAUACCCGAUAGGCGGAAGCGCCUGGAAUGGUCUUGCACUGAAAGGGCGUCUUGAUCAUGCUUCUCGACGUUGCCCAAGGACGGGACUGCGGCCGAUCAGGUUGUUGGUAGGGUAACGGCCUACCAAGCCUAUAACCGGUACGGGCCCUGAGAGGGGGAGCCCGGAGAUGGGAACUGAUACAAGGUCCCAGGCCCUACGGGGCGCAGCAGGCGCGAAAACUCCACAAUGCGCGAAAGCGUGAUGGGGUUAUCCCGAGUGCCGUCCGAUGAGGAUGGCUUUUACCCGGUGUAAGGAGCCGGGAGAAUAAGAGGGGGGCAAGACUGGUGUCAGCCGCCGCGGUAAUACCAGCUCCUCGAGUGGUGGGGAUGAUUAUUUGGCCUAAAGCGUUCGUAGCCGGCUUAAUAAGUCCCUCGUGAAAUCCGACGACUUAAUCGUCGGGCGUGCGAAGGAUACUGUUAGGCUAGGGGACGGGAGAAGUCGACGGUAGUCCCGGGGUAGGGGUGAAAUCUUAUAAUCCCGGGAGGACCACCAGUGGCGAAGGCGGUCGACUAGAACGUGCCCGACGGUGAUGGACGAAAGCUGGGGGAGCGAACCGGAUUAGAUACCCGGGUAGUCCCAGCCGUAAACGAUGCAGGCUAGGUGUUGGAACAGCCACGAGCUGCUCCAGUGCCGCAGGGAAGCUCUUAAGCCUGCCGCCUGGGAAGUACGGCCGCAAGGCUGAAACUUAAAGGAAUUGGCGGGGGAGCACCACAAGGGGUGAA